This 218-nucleotide long non-coding RNA is filed under the name Dasypus novemcinctus (nine-banded armadillo). RNAcentral's name for it is "lncRNA (ENSDNOG00000050537.1)". The record is from RNAcentral. Lineage: Eukaryota; Metazoa; Chordata; Mammalia; Cingulata; Dasypodidae.
AUAUUUUAACCCUGUAAUGUUCUUCUUUAAAUCCUUUUUCCAAUAAAAAACGUGUACACUGCAGACGAGUAACUAACAGAAGAGGUGAAGUUGAAAAAGACAUCUGUACUGGAUCUUUGAUGGCAAAGAGCUAUAAUGCAGAAGAAGGGGAAGGAAAAGAAGACUGCAUAGAACAGGUAAAACACUUUCUCUUAAUGUUUAUCAAAGACAUUUAAAUU